GGCUUCCGGGUGCCUUACCACAGAAUGUGUUCUUAUACUAUAUAGAAGGAGGAGGGAAAGUAAACCUACCCCGUAUACACCUAGGUCCAGGCCCUGUGCAUGGUCUGUAUUGUGAAUGGGAAGACAUGG
Molecule: small nucleolar RNA, 129 nt
Filed under: Castor canadensis (American beaver)
Lineage: Eukaryota; Metazoa; Chordata; Mammalia; Rodentia; Castoridae
Description: Small nucleolar RNA SNORA51 (ENSCCNG00000019670.1)
Rfam family: Small nucleolar RNA SNORA51
About the family: ACA51 is a member of the H/ACA class of snoRNA that guide the sites of modification of uridines to pseudouridines.
Source: Rfam by way of RNAcentral